Molecule: transfer RNA, 63 nt
Filed under: Sinoxylon sp. SIN01
Lineage: Eukaryota; Metazoa; Arthropoda; Insecta; Coleoptera; Bostrichidae
Description: tRNA-Cys
Source: RNAcentral
GGUCUUAUAGUCAUUAAUGAUUUUAAAUUGCAAAUUUAAAGGUAAAUAUAAAUUUUAAGGCUU